This is a long non-coding RNA of Suricata suricatta (meerkat), 890 nucleotides long. RefSeq lists it as uncharacterized. The record is from RefSeq and is a predicted model, not a curated record. The transcript has 3 exons. Lineage: Eukaryota; Metazoa; Chordata; Mammalia; Carnivora; Herpestidae.
GGCGGCUCCGGCGGCGGCGUGGGCCGGGGCUCCUGCUGCUCUGCCUUCCUAGCGGGAAACUGACUGCCUGAGCUCUGGAGGACAAACAGAGACACUGGGGGGUCACCGGGAGCGGCCGCGGGCGGGGCUCUAGGCCUCCGCCGCCCACUGGGUCACUGAGCUCACGCAGCAACCCCAAAAAGACCCCGCCCGGUGACUCGGGGAGGAGAGAAGAAUCCAGGUCGCUCUCUUAGCAAAACCUGGGCCCUUAAACUGCCAGGUGCCAGGAAAAGGGGAGGCUCCAAGGCUGAGUCUACAGCCCAACGGGCCCAGGCCCUUGAGAAGCCCCUCUCCCCAUCCCGCUCCAUUCCCUCCCUGCGGCCUGAUGGGCCUGCACCCAUCCCCAGCCUGGGCCCAGUACCAGUUUGCCCAGAGGUAAGGGAAGAAGACACGCACCUCUUGAGCCACGUGAACCGGCUGGAGCCCCUGCACCGUGAGCUGCUGCACGGGGCCGGCUUUGGGCGCCUGCGGAGUGGCUUGGACCACCGACCUCUGGGGAUGGAAAAGACAAGUCAGACUAGGGCGCGAACAAAGGCUCCUCAAACUGGGGCUGACAGGAAGUGGCAGAACCAAAGUUGAACUUGGGACUGAGGGAGUCCUUGCCGCCCACCCCGACUCUCUACGUAUGACAACGAAAGAUGUCUCUAGACCAAUUUCCUUGGAGAUGCUACCGUAGGGGACAGUACAGCGAUGGACAGAAGGACGUGGACUUCCCAGCUCUCUGACAGCAGAGACCAACCUUCUCUCUUAUUUAAUUAAGCCCUUCUCUGGGACUCUGUUAAGGCAAGAGAACUGUGGGGCGCCUGGGUGGCUCAGUCGGUUAAGUGGCUGACUUCAGCUCAGGUCAUGAU